RNAcentral lists this ribosomal RNA (301 nucleotides) under uncultured bacterium. RNAcentral describes it as "partial 16S ribosomal RNA". It matches the Rfam family "Bacterial small subunit ribosomal RNA", at positions 509 to 807 of the family's 1533-position model. The record is from RNAcentral.
CAGUCGCCGCGGUAAUACGAAGGGGGCUAGCGUUGUUCGGAUUUACUGGGCGUAAAGCGCACGUAGGCGGAUCGAUCAGUCAGGGGUGAGAUCCCAGAGCUCAACUCUGGAACUGCCUUUGAUACUGUCGAUCUGGAGUAUGGAAGAGGUGAGUGGAAUUCCGAGUGUAGAGGUGAAAUUCGUAGAUAUUCGGAGGAACACCAGUGGCGAAGGCGGCUCACUGGUCCAUUACUGACGCUGAGGUGCGAAAGCGUGGGGAGCAAACAGGAUUAGAUACCCGCGUAGUCCCUGUCUCUUAUAC